Small nucleolar RNA from Apodemus sylvaticus (European woodmouse), 141 nucleotides. RefSeq annotates it as small nucleolar RNA SNORA48. The transcript has a single exon. The record is from RefSeq and is a predicted model, not a curated record. NCBI's taxonomy places the organism in Eukaryota, Metazoa, Chordata, Mammalia, Rodentia, Muridae.
CACCCAGGCAAUGGGCAGAGACACCUUGUUGGUGGUGGUAUUCUUGUAUCAGUCAGGGGCAGGGCAGAUGGCAGGCCUUUGAUCAUCCUACCUUGAUGCCUGGUUUGGUGGCCAUAGGUGUUUUAUGCCUAGGACUCAUUA